GAGAGACGACAGCUGCAGCUGCUGCUUAUCACAGCAAGUGAAGUCUCUCCCUCCAUUCCCUCCCACCCCUCGUGCAAGUGCUCCUUAUAUUGUAGGCGAGAAAAGCCAGGAUGCAUUAGCCAUGGGUGGCUGUUUCCCCAUAAAGAUUCACUGGCUGCACCUCCGGAGAAAGGAGCGUGAAGCAAUGACGCAUUAGCCAUGCGUGGCUGUUUCCCCAUAAAGAUUCCCUGGCCAUGCAUCUGGAGAAAGCUGCUAAGGUCUCCAGUGCUUCACUGACUUCCAGCUGCUUCCAUUCCAGUUAACUACGCCAGCACAGCUGUCCCAGCCUGGAAUACCAGCAUAGCUGGUUCCAGCCCGGAGUCCGAGUCUAGCCGAUACCAGCACGGCAUUACAACGUAGCUGACCCCAGCACACUAUUCCAGCAUGGCCGAUCCCAUAGCGGCAUUCUGCAUAAGCAGUUCCAGCCCAGUGUCCAAGACUAGCCGAGUCCGGCACACCAGCAUAGCCGGAUCCAACCUGACAUACCAUUGAAAAGCCCAUCCAAGUCCAACAUAUCUACUCCAGCACCAAGCAUUCCCUUUCCAGCCAGGUCUACUGCUCUACUUGUUCCAUUCGGGUCUUCCACUGUGACGCUCCCAUACCAACUUAAUGUUUAGUACACACCUCAUGCCUAGGAGCAAAAUACCCAUUGACUACAGCUGCAGAGCUUCUUAAUGCCCAGAGGGAAGGGCAGUCCUUCCAGCCCCAAAGGUUUCCCCCACAGGGGGUUUUCCUCUCCUGAGUGCUGAAGGAUGAUUCCUCGUGAGUCACGAGGCUUCCACCACAUAGGUCCUCUUAUAGGACAAGCUUAAAUUACCAAAAGAACCAAGUUAUAAAUAAAAGCUCUGUUCCCUUUUCCUCCUA
Molecule: long non-coding RNA, 903 nt
Organism: Pseudophryne corroboree (corroboree frog)
Lineage: Eukaryota; Metazoa; Chordata; Amphibia; Anura; Myobatrachidae
Exons: 4
Source: RefSeq, a predicted model, not a curated record